UGUCCGAUGGUGUAAUGGUAACACUCCAGAUUUUGAUUCUGUCAUUCAAGGUUCGAGUCCUUGUCGGACAA
This 71-nucleotide transfer RNA is filed under the name Bacteroidota bacterium. RNAcentral's name for it is "tRNA-Gln". It matches the Rfam family "tRNA". Rfam says of the family: Transfer RNA (tRNA) molecules are approximately 80 nucleotides in length. Their secondary structure includes four short double-helical elements and three loops (D, anti-codon, and T loops). Lineage: Bacteria; Pseudomonadati; Bacteroidota. RNAcentral also lists the same sequence under 1 other name. The record is from RNAcentral.